AGUGAACGCUGGCGGUAGGCCUAACACAUGCAAGUCGAACGGCAGCACAGUAAGAGCUUGCUCUUACGGGUGGCGAGUGGCGGACGGGUGAGGAAUACAUCGGAAUCUACUUUUUCGUGGGGGAUAACGUAGGGAAACUUACGCUAAUACCGCAUACGACCUACGGGUGAAAGCAGGGGAUCUUCGGACCUUGCGCGAUUGAAUGAGCCGAUGUCGGAUUAGCUAGUUGGCGGGGUAAAGGCCCACCAAGGCGACGAUCCGUAGCUGGUCUGAGAGGAUGGUGAGCCACAUGGGAAGUGGGACGGGCACAAGGCGCCAAGGGGAGGCGCCAGUGGGGAAUGGGGGACAAGGGGGGAAAUCUUGUCAAGCCGUUCCGGGGGGGGAGAAAAAGACCUUGGGGUGGAAAGGCCUUUUUGUGGGGAAAAAAAGGAAGAGGGCUGUGACCCCGCGUGCGUGACGGUACCGAAAAAAGAAGCACCGGCUAACUACGUG
This 492-nucleotide ribosomal RNA is filed under the name uncultured bacterium. Its description in RNAcentral is "partial 16S ribosomal RNA". It matches the Rfam family "Bacterial small subunit ribosomal RNA", at positions 30 to 507 of the family's 1533-position model. The record is from RNAcentral.